This is a non-coding RNA of Nicotiana tabacum (common tobacco), 1057 nucleotides long. Lineage: Eukaryota; Viridiplantae; Streptophyta; Magnoliopsida; Solanales; Solanaceae. The record is from RefSeq and is a predicted model, not a curated record.
CCUUGUCACGCCGCAUGUACAAUAUAUCAAUAGUAACAAUAGCAUGGAAAAAACCUCGUGCAACCCCUCAACAACAAUCCGCACGGCAGAGACCUCGUGCACAACACAACAUAACCGCACGGCAGAGACCUCGUGCACCAACACAACCAGCACAACAACAAUAGUGACAAUAAUACAAAAUAUAGCGAGUGAAUCCACUCCAAAACUUCAAAUCGCAAGGAAUCGGUAUAACCAGUUCACAAGAAUAGCCACAGUAAGAAAAAUUAAAGGCAUAAAGGGAACAGUUCAACGAAAGGAAAAACUAACAUGUAGUGACGAUCCCAAAAUAAACAAAUCAGUACAAGGAAGACAACACGAGUCUAGUAGUCCUAAAUAAAAGCAAGUCGACAAGGAUAUAUAGGUCAUCUAAACUCCGUUUAAGGUUGGGAAGUUACGAGAAUGUUCGAUAAUUUCAAUUAAGGGAAGAUGAUCUUAGCUGCACUUAAGACUAGGCGAUUAUAGGAGGGGUGACAAUAACCCUCAAUAACACAGGCAUUUAUGGAAAGGUAGCAUGAUGAUAAGAGAGACGAAGUUCUUCAGUUAAAUCAAAUAGGAUGACAAUUAGGCAAUAAGAUUAAAUCAUAAAGCAAAUAAUUCCAACUAAGCAUGUAGAGACGAAACCAAUAAGCAGGAACUCAGUCAUAUUAAGAAUAACUUCAUACGUAGUGAAUAUAAGAACCUAAGAACCCUAAAAGGCCAUGUAUCCACAAUUAAGUCUGAGUACGCACUCAUCACCUUGCGUACACGGAUUACAAUCAACAUAGAAGACUCAAUCCUAAGGGGAAGUCCCCCACACAAGGCUAAGCAAGAUAGACGACAACUCAGUACUCUAAAAUGGACUUCUCUGACGAAAAGACCUCCGGACAGCUCAAAUCCAACUAUAACAACUCCAAAACACACAUAAAUCGAAUGAGGAACUAUUCCGAAUAAUAAAGUUUCAAUAUUUACAAAAUAUAAAAAUCGACCCAAAAACCAACCCUCGGGCCCGCACAUCGGAACCCAUCAAAUUUUACAAAAU